CCUGUUCCCUGGCUUCCUCCAUCCUGUGCAGCCCAUAGACUGUGACCAUCUCUCCGACCACUCUGGCCCUUCCUUUAUGUUUGUCUUGUGAGAAUCUCUGAGCAAGAUCUCCCCGGUCCAUCCAAACACCUGCUUUGUCCACUUUUGACUGGGCCAUUGGACACCACUGGGCCAUCCCAGCUGUCCACAGGGACCUUGAUAACAUGCAUUUCCCCUGACAUCUCCCAUCAGGGCUCAGCAGUCCCCACUGACCAGGUCCCUGCUGACCAGAUCCCGCACAUCAGGUCCUCCCUGACCACAUCCUCAGUGAUUAGACCCCCAUCACCAGGCCCCACUAACCAGGCCCCCGCUGCCACGCCCACAAUGACUAGGACUCCAUAAACCAGGACUUUACUGACAAGACCUCACUGACCUGGACCUUACUGACCAGGCCUCACUGACAAGGCCUCACUGACCAGGUCCUUACUGACCAUGUCCUUACUGACAAGAUCUCACUGACAUGGCCUCACUGACAGGGGCCUCACUGACAUGGCCUCACUGACCAUGUUCUUACUGACAAGGCCUCACUGACAAAGGCCUCACUGACAAGCGCUCACUGACCACGUUCUUACUGACAAGGCCUCACUGGUCAUGUUCCACCGAUCAUGACCCUAUUGCCUGGCCCCACAGAUGAAGCCCCACUGACCAGGCCUCCAGGGAAUAGGCUGCCAGUGAACAGGCCCCUACUAACCAGGACUGAGGUGACCAGAUGCCCCUGAACGGGACCCUAAUGAGUAGGCCCCCCUGAACAGGCACGCACUGCUCAGAUCCCCACAGACCAGGUCACCCCGUAGACCAGUGCUACAAAAGCCACCACUGAUCAAGUCCUCUCUGACCAGGCCCCCACUGAUUAGGUUCCACUGACCAGGCUGCCCUGACCAGGGCCCCACUGACAAGGGCCUCUGCUGACUAGGUCCCAUGUGACCAGGCCUCCACUGAGUAGCACCCCUUAACCUGGUCACCAGUCACCCAGCCCAUGCUGACAAGGCCACCACUAAGCCCCAGCUGACCAGGUCACCACUGACCAAGUCCCACAGCCCAGGUUUGCACUGACCAGACACCAAACAUUUGUCUGCCACUAGGUCCCCACUCACCAAGACCUGCACUACUAGAUCCCCCUAAUGAGACCCUCUCUAUGCAGACCCCUGCUGACCAUGCUCCCAACUAAAUAGGCCUCACUGACCAAGUCCCAACUGACUAGGUCCACUGAGCAGGCCCACACUGAUCAGGGCCCUCCUAAACACACCAGAAGGCCAAGCGGCAAUGAGAUGUUUCACAUGGCAGGAGUAGGAGCAAAACAGAGAGAAGAAAGAGGUGCCAUAUCCUGUUACACAACCAGAUCUCAUGAGAACUCACUAUCAGGAGAUCAGCGUCAAGAAGAUUAACCACUGGUGAAGGAUCCUCCACCCACACCACCGCCCACUGUUUCCAGGCAGAAGCCUCCUGCAGAGGCAGAGCCUCUUGAGAAACUUCCACUAUGGCAGUGCAGAAGGAAAAUAUGGGCUUGGAGGCCCCACACAGGAGGCCACCAUCCUCCAGACCCCAGAUUCAUAAGCCCACCAACAGCUCAAACCCUCAGUAUGGAAAAGCAACAGGCACUUAACACCAGUCCAGCCCAUGAAAGCAGCCAUGGGGGCUGAAGCCUGCAAAGCCACAGGUGCACUGUCCUAGUAGUUUUUCCAUGAGCCUCUGCCUCUGCAGCAGGUUAGUCCCCCUUCCUACUACCCUCUAC
This 1771-nucleotide long non-coding RNA is filed under the name Homo sapiens (human). RNAcentral describes it as "HSALNT0035716". Lineage: Eukaryota; Metazoa; Chordata; Mammalia; Primates; Hominidae. The record is from RNAcentral.